This 2265-nucleotide long non-coding RNA is filed under the name Ananas comosus (pineapple). RNAcentral's name for it is "long non-coding RNA (ACOM_LNC000786)". The record is from RNAcentral. Lineage: Eukaryota; Viridiplantae; Streptophyta; Magnoliopsida; Poales; Bromeliaceae.
GACAACCGGAGAAAAAGUCUCAUCAAAAUCAAUGCCUUGUUGUUGUUUGUAACCCUGAGCCACUAGUCGAGCUUUGAGACGCUCAAGAGAGCCAUCCGCCUUCUGUUUGACUUUGUAGACCCAUUUACAGCCAAUAAGAUUGACAGAAGGAGGAGCAGGAACAAGCUCCCAAGUAUCAUUGGUGAGUAAUGCAUCAAAUUCUUCAGCCAUGGCAGCACGCCAAUCUGCAUCCUGAAAAGCUUCAUGAAAAGUGAUAGGCUCAGUAGGAAGAGUAGUAUGUGUAGAAGCUAGGAAGGAGGUAGACCCAGCAAAAUUCUUAGCCAUAGAUCGAGUAAGCAUAGAGUGUGUCCGGAUUGGUAAGGAAGGCUCUGCAGGCUGAGGUGAAGGUGGCCUGUCCGAUGUGGAAGGCGUCAACUCAACAGGAGAAGGUAAAGCUGUAGCAGCAGAAGGUCGGAGGGUGUGUCGUCUGGUAUAGACUCGGAGUUCAGGUGGACCAGCAACAGUGGCAGCAUGUUCAUCACUAACCUGUGUGGCAUCAUGAUUCAAGGUGGAAGGAAAAGUCGAUACAGUCUCAGAUGGUGAAACAGAUGCAUUUGAACUAACAUCCGGAGAAAGGCGUGUGAAGGAAAAACCAGAGAUGGCAUCAAGAGAGGAAGGACUUUCGCCCAAUAAGGGAGGAUUAGAAAGAAAAUGUUGAAACAUUUGAAAAUUUGAGGUAGUGGGGGAAGAUGAGGAAGAAAAUUUGGACAGACAAGAGUAAGGAAAAACAGUUUCAACAAAAGUAACAUGGCGAGAAAUAAAAACUUUACCAGUGCUCGGAUAGAGGCAGCGAAAGCCCUUAUGUUUGUCAGAAAGACCCAAGAAAAUACAAGGAAGUGAUCGGGGAGAGAGCUUGUGAUCUGCAAUGUCCUGAACAUCGGGAUAACACAAACAUCCAAAGACUCUGAUAAGUUGCAAGUCAGGAGAAGCACAACCAUGGAGAAUGUCAUAUGGUGACCGCCCAUUUAAAACAGUAAGAGACGGAAGUCGAUUUACAAGAAAAACAGCAGUUUGAAUGGCCUCAGCCCAAAAACGAGGAGGCAAGCCAGCUUGGAAUAGUAGACUUCUAACAAUGUUAGAUAAAUGCCUAUGUUUUCUCUCAGCAAGGCCAUUUUGUUGAGGAGUGUAAGGACAAGAAAAUCGGUGAAUAAUUCCAUUUUGUGAGCAAAAACUAGAAAACUUGUCAUUUACAAAUUCCGUACCAUUGUCAGAUUGAAAAAUUUUUAUUGAGCUAUGAAAUAUAUUUUCAACCAUCUUCUUGAACUCGAAAAAUUUGUCAAAAACUUCAUGUUUAAAUUUUAAAAGAUAAAGCCAGGAAAAUCUAGAAUAAUCGUCGAUAAAAAUAACAUAAUAUUUGUAUCCAGAAACCGAGGGCACAGGUGAUUGCCAAACAUCAGAAUGAACAAUAUGAAAAGGAAAAGCAGAUUGAGAUUCUGAAUCAUGAAAUGAGAGUUUAACAUGUUUUCCCAUAUUACAAGCAUUGCAGACAGAUAAUUUCAGUGCAGAAUCAGAAACAAUUUUAUUAUUUUUAAUAAAUGUAGAAAGAACAGGAAGACUAGGAUGACCUAACCGUCUAUGCCAGACAUCUCCACUAAAUCUAGAUGCAAUAAGAGCUAGUUGUUGCUUAUUCCCUACACUUGCAAGUCUAGAAGAAAUUGGAUAAAGUGAUGUUCCCGAGCUAGGACAUCGAAGAAGCUCCUUCCCUGUUUCCUUGUCCUUCACAGAGAAACCAGUAGAGUCAAAUUCAAAAAGAGAAUUAUUAUCUUGACAGAAUUUACGCACUGAAAGUAAAUUUCUCUUAAUAGUAGGAACAACAAGAACAUUUUUUAGAGCAAAAGAGUUAGAAGAUGUAUUCAAUUGAGUUUCACCUGUCUGAGUAAUAUCAAGUAAAUUUCCAUUACCAACAAGAAUUUUUUCAUGCCCACUAUAAGGUUUAGAAGAUGAGAGAAUACCAGAGUUUGCGGUUAUAUGAUUUGAUGCUCCGGUAUCCGGAUACCAGACUUCCUCACCGGGUUCGUGAAGGUUCAUAGCAGCAAAGGUCUGAGGAACUUCAUCAGCAGCGAAAGAAUGAUUGAAGCGUUGUCUGCACUGAAGAGCAGAAUGAUUGAACUUUCCACAUAUCUGACAUUGUAUGCCGGACUUCGGAAUAUAUGGUUGUUGAUUUGGAGUGUAAGAUUGUUGAGGAUAAUUAGGUUGAGACUGUGGGUAGAUUUCAGGAGAUCCACG